GAACUGUCUAACUUCAGCUUGUCAACUGAAUUCCCAUAUGUCUGUAAGUAUAUGAGUAUAUGAGCCCCUAAAUAAAUUGAACUGGUUGAACGAGACUAAACGUGUAAACAAAAGAAAAAAGUAAUAUUUAUAUAAAAAAACAUCUAUUCUCGUGUCUCAGGCUAUUUGAUCGAACCAAAUUCGUUUGUGUCGUCAUUAUAAUAUGUGUCAUUAUGAGGUGUAUAACGAUUUGGGCACG
Molecule: non-coding RNA, 238 nt
Organism: Cinara cedri
Lineage: Eukaryota; Metazoa; Arthropoda; Insecta; Hemiptera; Aphididae
Source: the annotation of a GenBank genome assembly